This 429-nucleotide ribosomal RNA is filed under the name uncultured bacterium. RNAcentral describes it as "bacterial SSU rRNA". It matches the Rfam family "Bacterial small subunit ribosomal RNA", at positions 355 to 776 of the family's 1533-position model. The record is from RNAcentral.
UGGGGAAUUUUGGACAAUGGGGGAAACCCUGAUCCAGCAAUGCCGCGUGUGUGAAGAAGGCCUUCGGGUUGUAAAGCACUUUUGGCAGGAGCGAAACGGCUUGGGCUAAUACCUCGGGCUAAUGACGGUACCUGCAGAAUAAGCACCGGCUAACUACGUGCCAGCAGCCGCGGUAAUACGUAGGGUGCAAGCGUUAAUCGGAAUUACUGGGCGUAAAGCGAGCGCAGGCGGUUAUGUAAGACAGAUGUGAAAUCCCCGGGCUUAACCUGGGAACUGCAUUUGUGACUGCAUGGCUAGAGUGCGUCAGAGGGGGGUGGAAUUCCACGUGUAGCAGUGAAAUGCGUAGAGAUGUGGAGGAACACCGAUGGCGAAGGCAGCCCCCUGGGAUGACACUGACGCUCAUGCUCGAAAGCGUGGGGAGCAAACAGG